RNAcentral lists this ribosomal RNA (393 nucleotides) under uncultured bacterium. Its description in RNAcentral is "partial 16S ribosomal RNA". It matches the Rfam family "Bacterial small subunit ribosomal RNA", at positions 523 to 918 of the family's 1533-position model. The record is from RNAcentral.
AUACGGAGGAUCCGAGCGUUAUCCGGAUUUAUUGGGUUUAAAGGGUGCGCAGGCGGGAGAUUAAGUCGGCGGUGGAAUUUUGCCGCUCAACUGUAAAAGGGCCUUCGAAACUGGUUUCCUUUAGUGUAGAUGAAGUAGGCGGAAUUUGUGGGGGAGCGGUGAAAUGCAUAGAUAUCACGAGGAACUCCGAUUGCGCAGGCAGCUUACUAAACUACUACUGACGCUCAGGCACGAAGGCGUGGGGAUCAAACAGGAUUAGAUACCCUGGUAGUCCACGCAGUAAACGAUGAUUACUAGCUGUUUGCGAUACAAUGUAAGCGGCUGAGCGAAAGCGUUAAGUAAUCCACCUGGGGAGUACGUUCGCAAGAAUGAAACUCAAAUGAAUCGACGGGG